AAUAAGAUGGCUGAGGUUAAGCAGAAGAUUGUAAAUCUUCCCACGAGUUUUCUCUCUUAUUA
This 62-nucleotide transfer RNA is filed under the name Levensteiniella iris. Its description in RNAcentral is "tRNA-Tyr". The record is from RNAcentral. Lineage: Eukaryota; Metazoa; Annelida; Polychaeta; Phyllodocida; Polynoidae.